CACAGCCCUGCAGAAGAACCAACUGAAAAAAAAAAUUCUCAGGCUUUACAGCAAGCAAACUUCACUAUGAUUUUUACAAUUCUGAUUCUGUAUCCCUGGGGGGGUGUUCCAGUCGCUUCUUUAGGAUGGGGUUUAUUAUGUUGUACAUAUAUUCCAAUGUGUCUGUGUGAAUCUUUGUCUUUUUUGGGGGAGGGCGGAGGGCGGUUCUUUUUUUAGAUAUUGUUCCUAAAAAGGAAUAAAUGCAUACACCUGUUUGUCAAAACACCUUUGCUUUUUGUGCAACUGCUUUAUAUUAACGAUACUAAAAAAAAAAAAAUAGCUUUGGAAAAAAACUACUGUAUGUAAUGGGAUUGCAGAAUAUGCUGCACAUGUAUUUUAUUUAGUUAUCCUUGCUUUAAGAAUAUUGGAUGACAUUUCCUGACAUGUGGGAGGGAGAAGUUCCCUAACCUUUUUUUUUUUUUUUUUUUUUUGGCUUUUAAAUUGUAACAUAGUUGACAGAUUUUUUUUUUUCUGUUCUCAUUGAUCAGAGCAUUUUGUACAGAUUUGUGUGUGUGUGUGUAUGUGUGUGCGCGGGUAUGUGUGUUAAUCUGUUUUUUGAUACAUUCCUAUCCCUUGUGUUUAUCCUACCACUGCCUUCCUGGCUAUCUUAAACCAGUUCAUACAUUUGAAAAGAGAAAAAAAAAUGCUGUUUUAAAAAAUGUUUUCUCCUGCUGCAGUAAAUAUUUUGCAUGAUGAAAUGCCAGGGUCACACUUUCAAAGUUUAUCAGUGAAGUAGUGAUUAAUAAUGGGGAGUUGUCAAAGCUAUUGAACUUUUUGUAUAAAAAAAAAAAAAAGAAAACUUUACAAAGGUGCCAAGAUGUAAAGACAAUUUGUUACUUUUUUUUUUUUUUUUUUUUUCAAAGAAAAGCAUACAUGAGGGAGUUAGUCCCUUGUAUCAGGCAAAUGCACUGUCAGGAAUGAGAAUCCAUCCUCCUUGUCCCUAGAGUCUGUCCUUGUAAGAGAGUGACACUGCCUGCAGUGAACCAGCAGUGAAAUGAAGCAUCAAGGCUUCUGUAUGUGGAAGAGUGACCGCCAGCCUCCCCACCUUCGGACAGCUCUGCCUCGAUUUCCAGCAUCCCAUCAGACCCAGUAAAGAAUACCUUGGAUUCUUCACCCCAAAUCUGAUUGAUGGAAAUCACUAGCUAUUUUAUCAUGAAAAAAAAAA
This 1204-nucleotide long non-coding RNA is filed under the name Canis lupus familiaris (dog). Its description in RNAcentral is "lncRNA (ENSCAFG00845009523.1)". The record is from RNAcentral. Lineage: Eukaryota; Metazoa; Chordata; Mammalia; Carnivora; Canidae.